AAAAAGCGGAGGAAAAGAAACUAACAAGGAUUCCCCUAGUAACGGCGAGUGAAGCGGGAAGAGCUCAAAUUUGAAAUCUUAAAGGGUUUCCCUUUACGAAUUGUAGUUUAAAGAAGUGUUUUCUGUUGAGGUUUUGGUAAAAGUUCUUUGGAAUAGGACAUCAUAGAGGGUGAGAAUCCCGUAUUUGACCUUUACUUUCAACUUUGUGAUACACUUUCAAAGAGUCGGAUUGUUUGGGAAUGCAGUCCAAAAUGGGUGGUAAAUUUCAUCUAAAGCUAAAUAUUGGCGAGAGACCGAUAGCGAACAAGUACCGUGAGGGAAAGAUGAAAAGAACUUUGAAAAGAGAGUUAAACAGUACGUGAAAUUGUCAAAAGGGAAGCGUUUGACACCAGUGUUGUUUUUCUGAAAAUCAAUUAAAGAACUGUUUAUGCUAAGUUGUUUAGACUUUAUCAGCUAUCUGUUUAGUUUUGAGCUUUUCUUUAAUGCACUUUUCAGUUAACAAGUCAACAUCAAUUUCUUUUGCUGUAAAAAAGCUUGAGGAAGGUGGCUUGAGAUUCGUCUUAAGUGUUUAUAGCCUCUUGCCUAUGCAGUCGGAGAGAUUGAGGUCUGCAGCGUAGAUCCUUCGGGGCUAAAUGCAUUUGUGCUAAGUUAUAGCAUUUUAUAGACAACUUGUUGACUAUGAUUUGUCUUGUAGCUUACUCGCUUAUGUUAUUUUACCUACGCUUAGGAUGUGACAAAAUCCAAGACGUU
RNAcentral lists this ribosomal RNA (750 nucleotides) under Khoyollomyces ramosus. RNAcentral's name for it is "partial large subunit ribosomal RNA". It matches the Rfam family "Eukaryotic large subunit ribosomal RNA", at positions 45 to 627 of the family's 3401-position model. The record is from RNAcentral. Lineage: Eukaryota; Fungi; Neocallimastigomycota; Neocallimastigomycetes; Neocallimastigales; Neocallimastigaceae.